Molecule: unclassified non-coding RNA, 358 nt
Filed under: soil metagenome
Description: partial contains 5.8S ribosomal RNA, internal transcribed spacer 2, and large subunit ribosomal RNA
Rfam family: 5.8S ribosomal RNA (bases 1-120)
Source: RNAcentral
GAUGAAGAACGCAGCGAAACGCGAUAGUUAAUGUGAAUUGCAGAAUUCAGUGAAUCAUCGAAUCUUUGAACGCACAUUGCGCCCGCCAGUAUUCUGGCGGGCAUGCCUGUCCGAGCGUCAUUUCAACCCUCGAACCCCUCCGGGGGGUCGGCGUUGGGGACCUCGGGAGCCCCUAAGACGGGAUCCCGGCCCCGAAAUACAGUGGCGGUCUCGCCGCAGCCUCUCCUGCGCAGUAGUUUGCACAACUCGCACCGGGAGCGCGGCGCGUCCACGUCCGUAAAACACCCAACUUCUGAAAUGUUGACCUCGGAUCAGGUAGGAAUACCCGCUGAACUUAAGCAUAUCAAUAAGCGGAGGA